GAUGAACGCUGGCGGCGUGCCUAAUACAUGCGAGUCGAGCGAACAGACGAGGAGCUUGCUCCUCUGACGUUAGCGGCGGACGGGUGAGUAACACGUGGAUAACCUACCUAUAAGACUGGGAUAACUUUGGGAAACCGGAGCUAAUACCGGAUAAUAUAUUGAACCGCAUGGUUCAAUAGUGAAAGACGGUUUUGCUGUCACUUAUAGAUGGAUCCGCGCCGCAUUAGCUAGUUGGUAAGGUAACGGCUUACCAAGGCAACGAUGCGUAGCCGACCUGAGAGGGUGAUCGGCCACACUGGAACUGAGACACGGUCCAGACUCCUACGGGAGGCAGCAGUAGGGAAUCUUCCGCAAUGGGCGAAAGCCUGACGGAGCAACGCCGCGUGAGUGAUGAAGGUCUUCGGAUCGUAAAACUCUGUUAUUAGGGAAGAACAAAUGUGUGAGUAACUAUGCACGUCUUGACGGUACCUAAUCAGAAAGCCACGGCUAACUACGUG
Molecule: ribosomal RNA, 497 nt
Filed under: uncultured bacterium
Lineage: Bacteria
Description: partial 16S ribosomal RNA
Rfam family: Bacterial small subunit ribosomal RNA
Source: RNAcentral